RNAcentral lists this ribosomal RNA (317 nucleotides) under uncultured bacterium. Its description in RNAcentral is "bacterial SSU rRNA". It matches the Rfam family "Bacterial small subunit ribosomal RNA", at positions 29 to 351 of the family's 1533-position model. The record is from RNAcentral.
AAUGAACGUUGGCGGCGUGCCUAACACAUGCAAGUCGAGCGAGAAAGUCCUUCGGGAUGAGUACAGCGGCGGACGGUUGCGUAACACGUGAGUUAUCUGCCCUUCAGUGAAGAAUACCCUCGAGAAAUCGAGGUUAAUGCUGCAUACGUCCCUUCGGGGAGAAAGAUGGCUUCAUGCUGUCGUUGAAGGAUGAGCUUGCGGACUAUCAGCUAGUUGGUGAGGUAAAGGCUCACCAAGGCUAUGACGGUUAGCCGGCCUGAGAGGGUGUACGGCCAGACUGGAACUGAGACACGGUCCAGACUCCUACGGGGAGGCAG